AUGCAUGUUGUGUUGCUCGCUGGUUCUUCUGAAGCUCUUCAAAUGACUCCUGACAGUGAUUUUGAUGGGGACCCCAACAGUGCUUACACUUUGGCUGAUGACCCUGCUGCUUAUGAGGUUGGCUCUCUUUUGGCGCCAAUAGUUGAUUUGAAUGAUGGGCUUACUCUUGCUUUGCCUCAGUCCAUGGAUCAGUCCAUGGAUGGUGAACCUGAACUGGGCCUAGCCCAGGUGCUUUAUGAUAUCCCUAGGCCGUCCACCACUCGUCCCCGCCUCUCCAAGUGUAGGGCUCCACUGGUGACCACUGAAGUACGUCGCAACACCAGAUCUACAAGGUUUGAUGGCUUCAGAGUGCCUCAAAUUACUGAUGUGCGUGUCACCUCAUGCAAAGUUAAGUCCAGGGUGAUUCCUUCUGCUGCCGUUGGAUCAUCUGAGCCUGUGGAUCAAUCACCUCCACCAACCCCUCUUCGCGCCAUGCAAGACAUCGGCAUCAACCGCUGUGCUGUCCCCCACCCCCCAGGAGCUUACUGA
This 528-nucleotide ribosomal RNA is filed under the name Triticum aestivum (bread wheat). Its description in RNAcentral is "partial small subunit ribosomal RNA". Lineage: Eukaryota; Viridiplantae; Streptophyta; Magnoliopsida; Poales; Poaceae. The record is from RNAcentral.